Long non-coding RNA from Ficedula albicollis (Collared flycatcher), 3042 nucleotides. RefSeq lists it as uncharacterized. NCBI's taxonomy places the organism in Eukaryota, Metazoa, Chordata, Aves, Passeriformes, Muscicapidae. The record is from RefSeq and is a predicted model, not a curated record. The transcript is spliced from 5 exons.
UUGUGCCAUAGGAGGUUUAGAUGGGAUAUCAGGGAAAAGUCCCUCACAGAAAGGGUGAAACAUUGGAACCGGCUGCCUAGGGAAGUGGGGGAGUCACUGUCCCUGCAAGCGUUCAGAAAAGCUGUAACGAGCACUGAUAUGAACGUUUGGGGUUUGUUUGUUUGUUGUUGUUUUGUUUUUAAUCUGCCUUUUUAAAGGGAAUUGUACUUUAACAGAAUAGCACUAUUCCAUUAUUGCUGUUACAAGAACCCAGUGAUCUCGGGUGCCAGAGACGGGCGUGGUGGGAGCGCUGUCCCCCUGUUUACUCUGUGUUCCAGCAUUAGAGAAACGGCCAGAAAGUGAACGUGAGCAGAUCAGGAGUUAAGAAAAUGCUUAUCAAGGCCUUGGCACUCAGAGUUUCUGCCUGCAGAGAAACAAGAACAGAUGGAUACUUCCUUAACACCUGCUGCUGUGGGAGUCUUCUGAAACACUUGCAAAAUAUAACUACAGCAGAUAUCCCUUUGCCACGUGCCCAGUGAGGGCAACAUUAUGGCUGCAUACUCUGAAACAGGAAAAGGAGAACAACACUGAUGUUCCACAAGGACCUUUGCAUGGAUUUCAUCCACUUCAUGGAUUUAAUGAGAAAUGAAUGGGCAAGCAACAAAGACAAUGUCUCCUUGUAGCUAAAGAAAUCUCAGUCUGAUUCUGAUCGUUAGGCACUUAUGUGCCACCAUAUUACUGGUUAAAAUACUUUUCCAAACUCACUUUUUCUAAGCAAAUAAACAAAAUAGCAGCAAAAUCACAACCAUCACAACAGAGUGAAAAAAUAGCCAUUGCUGAUCUUGCAGAAACAUCCUCUUCCAAUGAACAAUGUGUGCUUUCAGACCUUUGACUAUGGCCAUCUUCAGAGACUGUGAAUAAUUGUUUACUCAUGGGCAUUUAUAGUCUGCAGCUCCUGAAGAGUCCAGAGUGCAGAGGCAGAUUUACCCUGAAGGACUGCAGUCCAUGGAAGGGCACAUGCUGGAGCAGAGGAAAAGAGUCCCUGCUGGAUAAACACUGCUGGGGCAUCACACUUGCCAAGCAGAGCCAAGGCAGUCUACUGUACCUUCUCGUUGCUUUCUACAGCUCAGGCUUUCUUCCAUUAUCUCCUCCAAUCAAGCAUGAUUACAUACUAGCUUCAGCUGGCAUUCUGACAGUUCAAGACAUCAGAUACUGAUAAAUACAAACAGUGCUCUGAAAUUUGGAAAUCAGUAUGUAAGAGGUGGUAUGAUUGAACUUUGGAACCCAUAUAAGCUGUAUCCAUAUAAUACAAUAAAUGCUGCAAAUGGUAUUAGAUGUUUCAAUAUCUAUAUUAUGUACCUUUAAACAUUCCAAAAUACAUUUAAAGUGUCUAGAAGUGUUUCGAAUGGAUCUUGUGCACAUGCAGUGUUCAGUCAAGUGGAUUGCCCCUGCACAGAUUAUGAACGUACCUGAUCUAUAAAACUCAGCUUCCUCUCUGACCUGUGUCUUCCCUUGUGACACCUAGUUAUUUGAGCUAGCAGAUCUAAAAUGUGCUUAAUAGAUUUGUAAUUUUAUCCUGAGUGAAGAAUCAACUCAACUUCUAUCCAAUUUCAGAAUAACAUUUUAAAAAAUGGCAACUGAAAAUCUGCUAAGAUUUUUUUAUCAAAACUGCCGUAUAAGAUUUUUUUUUAAAAAAGCAGUUGCUCUAUAUUUAUGACAGUGGCUCAUCGAUUGCUAAAAACAAAAGCAAAAAUUUCAAAAUAAUGCUAAAAAUGGAGUUAAAGUUUGUAGCUGAGAUUCUUCAAAAAGGUUCUGAAUUUGGGGUUAGAGUACUAUCAUGUCUUUUUAUUUCAUGCUUAAUAACCCUUUUUUGCCUGUGAGAGUCUUUCAUUUCUGAAACUUGGCAGGAUAUAGCAUGUUAUUAAUCGAUAUUGUAAACUCAAGUCUUGAUUUUGUUGGUUGUCCCAAGUAUCAUACAAACAUAAGGAAAACAAAUACCUCAACUGAAAAGCUUAAAUUUAAUUUUGUCACAAUUCAGAUCUUAUGCAGGAAGCUGAGUGGCUUAUAAUUCUUAGGUCAUUAGUUGCUAUAGGACCACAGAUUUUAGAAAGCUGAUGUGCCUUGCAAGGCCAGAUACUUCAUUUAAGCCAAACAAGGAAACAGUACAAUUUCUGACUGUUUUUCUAAUGGCAGAGGGCAAUGGAACUUUAGAGUAGGAUAGUUCAGCUGGAAGAACCUGUAAGACAAUCAUCCAGUCCAGCUGACCGACCAGUUCAGGACUGACCAAAAGUUAAAGCAUGCUAUUAAGGGCAUCCAAAUGACUUUUAAAUGCUGACAGGCCUGGGGCAUUGACCACCUCUCUAGGAAGCCUGUUCCAGUGUUUGACCACCCUCUCAUGCAGAAAUGCUUCCUAAUCCAGUCUGAACCUCCUGUGGUGAAGGCUGAAACUAUUCCCUUCUGUCCUAUCCCUGGCUUGGAGGGAGAAGUGAUCAGAAGAUCCGUCUCCACUUCCCCUCCUCAGGAAGCUGCUCCAGAGAGCAAUGAGGUCACCUCUCAGCAUCCUUCAUUCCAAACUAGACAAACGCCAAGUCCUCAGCUGCUCGUCAUAGGACUUGUGUUCUAAAUUCAGAUUAAGUGUUAAUAGAUGUCCAGAGUUGAAAUUACUAUGUGUGCAUGUGUGUAUACCAGAAGGAAAACACAGGAAACAGCAAGUGAAUUAAGUCAGGGAGCAAUCCAAAGAAGAGAAUUCAGAGUAAAUGUUAUCAGAUGAAAGAUGUGUCUCCUGUUUCUUAUUUUCCACCAUAUUCAGGAAAAUUGGAUUCCAUGUACAUUUUUCAAAAAUAAACAAGAUUACAACAAAGACAUUUCUGAUUGCAAAAUCAAUUUCAGGGGAAAAUAAAACAAUCUGAAAGGUCUCAAACUGCUCAGCUCCUCAAGCUAUAUCUCUGUGGAAUUGUGUCAUGCUAUUCUUCUUAUUAUAGACCUGUAAGAGAAAAGAAGGGUGUUAUUUCCAAAAUGUUAUAGUUUGUGAGUUACAAACUGAAGGAAAAACAAAAAUGUAUU